RNAcentral lists this small nuclear RNA (20 nucleotides) under Arabidopsis thaliana (thale cress). Its description in RNAcentral is "snRNA_04207". Lineage: Eukaryota; Viridiplantae; Streptophyta; Magnoliopsida; Brassicales; Brassicaceae. The record is from RNAcentral.
UUAUCUAGGACCGAUCACUC